ACCUCGUCCUCUGAAAAUGGUUGUAGUUCAAUAUUCUUCAAAACCUUUAAAAUCAAGAUCUUAGCUUAUUCACCUCUCCUCUAGAGAGAGUGAUAGGAACAUGAUACAUAGAUCCGAGUCUUAAUCUGACCUACCUGACUACUAAGUGUGUAACUUUUCUAGCUUCUGUAAUUGCCUCUAGCUCUUGUUAACAUCUUACUCAAAAGGUUGUUGUCAAGUUUAAGCUAGCUAAUAUACAUAAAGAAUUUCAUAAACCACAGUAGUCUUCUGUUGCCUUGUUAGAAUAUUGUAAUAUUUCUUUCUUUUCUCCCUUUUAUUUUUUUCAGUUCUUGAAGGACUGCCAAUCCUUGGAUGAAUAUGAAGGGCUGCCAGUUUCUGGGAAGAGUGAACUAUCUUCGGACUAAUUUCAAUGAUAUCUUCAUGGUCAGUAAGUCUGGGCUUUGAAACACUGUCUUGCAAAUUUAUGCACAUAUUUCAGCUUGAGAAGAUAGUUGAAAUUGAGUGAGAC
This 508-nucleotide long non-coding RNA is filed under the name Ovis aries (sheep). RNAcentral's name for it is "lncRNA (ENSOARG00000026606.1)". Lineage: Eukaryota; Metazoa; Chordata; Mammalia; Artiodactyla; Bovidae. The record is from RNAcentral.